GCUGGGCACAGUGGUGUAUGCCUAUAAUCCUAGCAGUUUGGGAGGCUAAGGCAGGAGGAUCACAAGUUCGGAGCCAACCUCAGCAAUUUAGCAAGGCCCUAAGAAACUCAGUGAGACCCUGUCUCUA
RNAcentral lists this small RNA (127 nucleotides) under Marmota monax (woodchuck). The record is from RNAcentral. Lineage: Eukaryota; Metazoa; Chordata; Mammalia; Rodentia; Sciuridae.